RNAcentral lists this ribosomal RNA (494 nucleotides) under uncultured bacterium. RNAcentral describes it as "partial 16S ribosomal RNA". It matches the Rfam family "Bacterial small subunit ribosomal RNA", at positions 28 to 507 of the family's 1533-position model. The record is from RNAcentral.
GACGAACGCUGGCGGCGUGCUUAACACAUGCAAGUCGAACGGAAAGGCCUGCUUUCCCUUGUGGAUUGCGGGUACUCGAGUGGCGAACGGGUGAGUAACACGUGAGAGAUCUGCCCCCAACUUGGGUAUAAGCCUGGGAAACUGGGUCUAAUUCCCGAUAGGACUGCAGGGUGGUGCCUGUGGUGGAAAACGAUUUUCUAGUGGUUGGGGAUGAGCUCGCGGCCUAUCAGCUUGUUGGUGGGGUAAUGGCCUACCAAGGCGGCGACGGGUAGCCGGCCUGGGAGGGUGGACGGCCACAUUGGGACUGAGAUACGGCCCAGACUCCUACGGGAGGCAGCAGUGGGGAAUAUUGCACAAUGGGCGGAAGCCUGAUGCAGCGACGCCGCGUGGGGGAUGACGGCCUUCGGGUUGUAAACUCCUUUCGACCGCGAGGAAGCCACCUGGUUGGAAGGGUGGUGACGGUAGUGGUAGAAGAAGCACCGGCUAACUACGUG